UUCCCAACCCAGGGAUCAAACCCAGGUCUCCUGCAUUGCAGGCAGAUUCUUUACCAGCUGAGCCACAAGGGA
Molecule: transfer RNA, 72 nt
Filed under: Haemonchus contortus (barber pole worm)
Lineage: Eukaryota; Metazoa; Nematoda; Chromadorea; Rhabditida; Trichostrongylidae
Description: tRNA, Pseudo
Source: RNAcentral